Long non-coding RNA from Haliotis rubra (blacklip abalone), 246 nucleotides. RefSeq lists it as uncharacterized. The transcript is spliced from 2 exons. NCBI's taxonomy places the organism in Eukaryota, Metazoa, Mollusca, Gastropoda, Lepetellida, Haliotidae. The record is from RefSeq and is a predicted model, not a curated record.
AAUACAACAUUCAGGUACAUUCUAUACUAAUGUGAACAAGAUGUACAAGUUGCCAAAUACAAAAUUCAGGUACAUUCUAUAUUAAUGUGAGCAAGAUGUACAAGUUACCAAAUGGAACGUUUAGGUUCAUUCUAUACUAAUGUGAACUAAAUGUACAAGUUGCCAAAUACAACAUUCAGGGACAUUCUAUACUAAUGUGAACAAGAUGUACAAGUUGCCAAAUACAACGUUUAGGUACAUUCUAUA